RNAcentral lists this ribosomal RNA (515 nucleotides) under uncultured bacterium. Its description in RNAcentral is "partial 16S ribosomal RNA". It matches the Rfam family "Bacterial small subunit ribosomal RNA", at positions 28 to 523 of the family's 1533-position model. The record is from RNAcentral.
GAUGAACGCUGGCGGCGUGCCUAAUACAUGCAAGUCGAGCGAAUGGAUUAAGAGCUUGCUCUUAUGAAGUUAGCGGCGGACGGGUGAGUAACACGUGGGUAACCUGCCCAUAAGACUGGGAUAACUCCGGGAAACCGGGGCUAAUACCGGAUAACAUUUUGAACCGCAUGGUUCGAAAUUGAAAGGCGGCUUCGGCUGUCACUUAUGGAUGGACCCGCGUCGCAUUAGCUAGUUGGUGAGGUAACGGCUCACCAAGGCAACGAUGCGUAGCCGACCUGGGGGGGUGAUCGGCCACACUGGGACUGAGACACGGCCCAGACUCCUACGGGAGGCAGCAGUAGGGAAUCUUCCGCAAUGGACGAAAGUCUGACGGAGCAACGCCGCGUGAGUGAUGAAGGCUUUCGGGUCCUAAAACUCUGUUGUUAGGGAAGAACAAGUGCUAGUUGAAUAAGCUGGCACCUUGACGGUACCUUACGAGAAAGCCACGGCUAACUACGUGCCAGCAGCCGCCGUAA